This 468-nucleotide ribosomal RNA is filed under the name uncultured bacterium. Its description in RNAcentral is "partial 16S ribosomal RNA". It matches the Rfam family "Bacterial small subunit ribosomal RNA", at positions 28 to 507 of the family's 1533-position model. The record is from RNAcentral.
GACGAACGCUGGCGGCGUGCCUAACACAUGCAAGUCGAACGGCAACGCCCUGCUUUUGUGGGGGGCUCGAGUCGCCAACGGGUGAGUCACACGCGAGUACCCCGCCCUUGAUUUUGGGAUAACUUCCGCAAACUGGGGAUAAUACCUGAUACUAGCUCCUGCUGCUCGGUUGGGGUUGGAAAGCUUCGGCGGUUGCGGAUGGACUCACGGCUUAUCAGCGUUCUGUUGAUGUAGGCGCUUACCCAAGCUAUGACGGGUAUCCGGAUUGGCAAGGUGACCGGCCGCAUUGGGAAUGAGAGAAGGCCCAGACUGCUGAGGGAGGCAGUGGUGAGGAAUAUUGCACAAUGGAGGGAAGCCUGAGCGAGUAACGCCGCGUGCGGGAUGACGGGUAUCGGGUUGAAAACCGCUUUGGCCUGUAACGAGGAGUGAGUGACGGUACUGGGUAAAGAAGCACCGGCUAACUACGUG